Varanus komodoensis (Komodo dragon) is the source of this 557-nucleotide long non-coding RNA. RefSeq lists it as uncharacterized. Lineage: Eukaryota; Metazoa; Chordata; Lepidosauria; Squamata; Varanidae. The transcript is spliced from 3 exons. The record is from RefSeq and is a predicted model, not a curated record.
CCCUUUCUUUUUCUCAAGGAAGGCUCCUCGCAUUGUGUUUUCUACACAGUGGGGAAGCUGAACGUGGGAAAAAAAGGGCUCUUUGUCCAGCGUUGUGUCUAGUUGGCUAAUUUCUGUCAAACAGCUGUGGCUGAUUCCUUGCCGGUUUGGAUGUGUUCAGGAGGUGGUUCAACAGAAAAGGCACCGGUUUUCCAGCAUCACUGCUGCAGACUGUAGGUGUACCUACUCUGCUUGUGGUAGACUACAAGGAUGUGCCAUAACUCCCUGUUAGAGCACCUGUUCGCAUGCAGAUGGUCCCCGGUUCAACUACUGGUAUCUCCAAAAUAGGGCUGAGAAAGGGCCCUGUCUGACACCCCAGAGGCCCAUUGCCUGUCGGUGAGCUAGGUGGACCACUGAACUAGAUGGACCAAUGGUCUUGCUCGGUAUAUUGUGGGUCCUAUGUUGUGUAAAUCUUCUCAUUUCUGGCCACAGUCUGUUUUGCUGUGCUCUUUGCUCUGAAGACUUCAUUUUGUGAAGGUCCUUGUAUGGCUUGCUUGCAUAAAAUUGGCUCAGCAGAA